AGAGUUUGAUCCUGGCUCAGGAUGAACGCUGGCGGCGUGCCUAACACAUGCAAGUCGAACGGAAAUGUUUCGCUGAUGAAGCUUCGGUAGAAUCUUGAAACAUUUUAGUGGCGGACGGGUGAGUAACGCGUGGGCAACCUGCCUUACACUGGGGGAUAACACUUAGAAAUAGGUGCUAAUACCGCAUAAGCGCACAGCUUUGCAUGAAGCAGUGUGAAAAACUCCGGUGGUGUAAGAUGGACCCGCGUCUGAUUAGCUAGUUGGCGAGGUAACGGCUCACCAAGGCGACGAUCAGUAGCCGGCCUGAGAGGGUGAACGGCCACAUUGGGACUGAGACACGGCCCAAACUCCUACGGGAGGCAGCAGUGGGGAAUAUUGCACAAUGGGGGAAACCCUGAUGCAGCGACGCCGCGUGAGUGAAGAAGUAUUUCGGUAUGUAAAGCUCUAUCAGCAGGGAAGAAAAUGACGGUACCUGACUAAGAAGCCCCGGCUAACUACGUGCCAGCAGCCGCGGUAAUACGUAGGGGGCAAGCGUUAUCCGGAUUUACUGGGUGUAAAGGGAGCGUAGACGGCAGGGCAAGUCUGAAGUGAAAGCCCGGGGCUCAACCCCGGGACUGCUUUGGAAACUGUCCGGCUAGAGUGCAGGAGAGGUAAGUGGAAUUCCAAGUGUAGCAGUGAAAUGCGUAGAUAUUUGGAAGAACACCAAUGGCGAAGGCAGCCCCCUGGGAUGCGACUGACGCUCAUGCACGAAAGCGUGGGGAGCAAACAGGACUAGAUACCCUGGUAGUCCGCGCCCUAAACGAUGUCUACUGGUUGUUGGGGAUUAAUAUCCUUGGUAACGAAGCUAACGCGUGAAGUAGACCGCCUGGGGAGUACGGUCGCAAGAUUAAAACUCAAAGGAAUUGACGGGGGCCCGCACAAGCAGUGGAGUAUGUGGUUUAAUUCGAAGCAACGCGAAGAACCUUACCAGGUCUUGACAUCCCUCUGACCGUCCUAGAGAUAGGAUUUUCCUUCGGGACAGAGGUGACAGGUGGUGCAUGGUUGUCGUCAGCUCGUGUCGUGAGAUGUUGGGUUAAGUCCCGCAACGAGCGCAACCCCUAUCUUUAGUAGCCAGCAUUUCGGAUGGGCACUCUAGAGAGACUGCCCGGGAUAACCGGGAGGAAGGUGGGGAUGACGUCAAAUCAUCAUGCCCCUUAUGACCAGGGCUACACACGUGCUACAAUGGCGUAAACAAAGGGAAGCGAAGCCGUGAGGUGGAGCGAAUCCCAAAAAUAACGUCUCAGUUCGGAUUGUAGUCUGCAACUCGACUACAUGAAGCUGGAAUCGCUAGUAAUCGCGAAUCAGAAUGUCGCGGUGAAUACGUUCCCGGGUCUUGCACUCACCGCCCGU
This 1389-nucleotide ribosomal RNA is filed under the name uncultured bacterium. RNAcentral describes it as "bacterial SSU rRNA". It matches the Rfam family "Bacterial small subunit ribosomal RNA". The record is from RNAcentral.